AGUGAACGCUGGCGGUAGGCCUAACACAUGCAAGUCGAACGGCAGCACAGUAAGAGCUUGCUCUUACGGGUGGCGAGUGGCGGACGGGUGAGGAAUACAUCGGAAUCUACUUUUUCGUGGGGGAUAACGUAGGGAAACUUACGCUAAUACCUCAUACGACCUACGGGUGAAAGCAGGGGAUCUUCGGACCUUGCGCGAUUGAAUGAGCCGAUGUCGGAUUAGCUAGUUGGCGGGGUAAAGGCCCACCAAGGCGACGAUCCGUAGCUGGUCUGAGAGGAUGAUCAGCAACACUGGAACUGAGCACCGGUCCAGACUCCUACGGGAGGAAGCAGUGGGGAAUAUUGGACAAUGGGCGAAAGCCUGAUCCAGCCAUACCGCGUGGGUGAAGAAGGCCUUCGGGUUGUAAAGCCCUUUUGUUGGGAAAGAAAAGCAGCAGGUUAAUACCCCGCUGUUCUGACGGUACCCAAAGAAUAAGCACCGGCUAACUUCGUG
This 492-nucleotide ribosomal RNA is filed under the name uncultured bacterium. RNAcentral describes it as "partial 16S ribosomal RNA". It matches the Rfam family "Bacterial small subunit ribosomal RNA", at positions 29 to 507 of the family's 1533-position model. The record is from RNAcentral.